Molecule: ribosomal RNA, 777 nt
Filed under: uncultured Neocallimastigales
Lineage: Eukaryota; Fungi; Neocallimastigomycota; Neocallimastigomycetes; Neocallimastigales
Description: partial large subunit ribosomal RNA
Rfam family: Eukaryotic large subunit ribosomal RNA
Source: RNAcentral
UACUAGAGUAGCACUCGCAUAUCAAUAAGCGGAGGAAAAGAAACUAACAAGGGAUUCCCCUAGUAACGGCGAGUGAAGCGGGAAGAGCUCAAAUUUGAAAUCUUAAAGGGUUUCCCUUUACGAAUUGUAGUUUAAAGAAGUGUUUUCUGUUGAGGUUUUGGUAAAAGUUCUUUGGAAUAGGACAUCAUAGAGGGUGAGAAUCCCGUAUUUGACCUUUACUUUCAACUUUGUGAUACACUUUCAAAGAGUCGGAUUGUUUGGGAAUGCAGUCCAAAAUGGGUGGUAAAUUUCAUCUAAAGCUAAAUAUUGGCGAGAGGACCGAUAGCGAACAAGUACCGUGAGGGAAAGAUGAAAAGAACUUUGAAAAGAGAGUUAAACAGUACGUGAAAUUGUCAAAAGGGAAGCGUUUGACACCAGUGUUGUUUUUCUGAAAAUCAAUUAAAGAACUGUUUAUGCUAAGCUGUUUAGACUUUAUCAGCUAAUCUGUUUAGUUUUGAGCUUUUCUUUAAUGCACUUUUCAGUUAACAAGUCAACAUCAAUUUCUUUUGCUGUAAAAAAGCUUGAGGAAGGUGGCUUGAGAUUCGUCUUAAGUGUUUAUAGCCUCUUGCCUAUGCAGUCGGAGAGAUUGAGGUCUGCAGCGUAGAUCCUUCGGGGCUAAAUGCAUUUGUGCUAAGUUAUAGCAUUUUAUAGACAACUUGUUGACUAUGAUUUGUCUUGUAGCUUACUCGCUUAUGUUAUUUUACCUACGCUUAGGAUGUUGAUCUACAGAGCGAGAGU